AUGGAUGGAGUGGACGUGACCUUUCAUGUCGCCGGACGGAUGUUCUCGGCCCAUAGGCUCAUUCUCGCCGCGAGGUCACCUGUUUUCAGGGCGGAGCUCCUUGGAGCCAUGAAGGAGAAAGCCGGCGGUCCAAUUGAAAUCCAUGACAUGGAAGCUAAUGUGUUCAAGUGUUUGCUCCAUUUCAUAUACACCGACUCACUGCCUGAUCUUCAAAUGGCUAGCAACCAAGGUGAAGCACAUCUAGAUGUGAUGAUGGCUAGCCACCUACUCGUGGCAGCAGACAGGUACAAUAUCGAGAGGCUGAAACUGAUAUGCAAGCACAAGUUAUGCAGCCACAUUGAUGCCGACAUGGCGGCGACCAGUUUGGCGUUAGCUGAGCAGCAUUGCUGCAAUGGACUCAAGGAAGCCUGUCUACAGUUCCUUGCUUCUCCUUCCAAUUUGGAGGCGGUGAUGACAAGUGAUGGCUACAAGCAUCUCAAAAGCAGUUGCCCAUCUGCCCUAAAGGAGUUGAUUGCUAGGCUCCUGCCGCCUAACAUGAAAGCUGCCAAGGAUAUUGUCAUGGCACUUUAG
RNAcentral lists this ribosomal RNA (570 nucleotides) under Triticum aestivum (bread wheat). Its description in RNAcentral is "partial small subunit ribosomal RNA". Lineage: Eukaryota; Viridiplantae; Streptophyta; Magnoliopsida; Poales; Poaceae. The record is from RNAcentral.